RNAcentral lists this ribosomal RNA (235 nucleotides) under uncultured bacterium. RNAcentral describes it as "partial 16S ribosomal RNA". It matches the Rfam family "Bacterial small subunit ribosomal RNA", at positions 96 to 334 of the family's 1533-position model. The record is from RNAcentral.
UGGCGGACGGGUGAGUAAUGUCUGGGAAACUGCCCGAUGGAGGGGGAUAACUACUGGAAACGGUAGCUAAUACCGCAUAACGUCGCAAGGCCAAAGAGGGGGACCUUAGGGCCUCUUGCCAUCGGAUGUGCCCAGAUGGGAUUAGCUAGUAGGUGGGGUAAUGGCUCACCUAGGCGACGAUCCCUAGCUGGUCUGAGAGGAUGACCAGCCACACUGGAACUGAGACACGGUCCAG